AAAUGUCCUUGAAUUCGAGACUAAUAAAGGUGCGUGCCGGAUGCGACCUGUCGGCUGAAGAGGACCCUAGUUGGUCCUAAAACGGCCUGAGGUAGAGGGGUUUUAGUCGGUAGGUCCGAGGACUUCUUCCUCGGGAAUCCGACACUACCCAGUCGUACGGACGGCUGGGUGUCUUCUGAAGAUUUCCCCUCUUCCACGAAA
Molecule: non-coding RNA, 201 nt
Organism: Agrilus planipennis (emerald ash borer)
Lineage: Eukaryota; Metazoa; Arthropoda; Insecta; Coleoptera; Buprestidae
Source: Rfam